AUCUGUAGAGUGGCUCACUGGAUCUUCUCUGUGCUCUGAAACUUUUCUGAAUGUUUUCUUCUUGGCCUUCUCGUCUCUCAGCUUAACUACCAUCUUUAAUGACAUUCUCAUCUUUGUUGAGUGAAACUUUAGUCUAUUUAAGUCCUUCUUCAAAUCUACUUCACUUCCACCUUUGUAGUCUCACUCUCACUGAGACUUGUUCCGUUUAGCUCUGUUGGAACUCAUAGAGUCAACACUAUAGCAUUCCAAUAACUCAACGAUCCUUCAACUUUAGUAACACUUGAUCUUUGAAGCUCUGGCUAAUAUAUACUCCUUCCCAAUCUUCCAUUGGAAUAUAGCCGUUGAAAGCUAUUUGAAUUGCUUCGUAGAUCUCGAUUUAUUUGGUGCAGAUUGCUUGAUGUGAUGUGACAGCUCCUUUAUGACUUUUACUGACACAGUAGUCUACUACCUUACCUACUGCCUUAGAGUUGUCAUCUUUCCGUGUCAGGCAGGUAGUCAUCUUUAUUUCUUUUUUCUGACUUCUCGAUUAGAACAUCAGAAGUUGUCCUUUUGCAUUGAUGCUCUCAAUUAGCAGUAUUCAAAUAUCAGUCUUCAGAUUGAACCAUUGCCAAUGCUUCAAUCUUCAGAUGAUCGAACUCUACUAUUC
RNAcentral lists this long non-coding RNA (646 nucleotides) under Panax ginseng (ginseng). RNAcentral's name for it is "long non-coding RNA (PGIN_LNC017624)". The record is from RNAcentral. Lineage: Eukaryota; Viridiplantae; Streptophyta; Magnoliopsida; Apiales; Araliaceae.